UCCAAUUAUUUAAUCCCUUCCUAAAAUGC
This 29-nucleotide non-coding RNA is filed under the name Mus musculus (house mouse). Lineage: Eukaryota; Metazoa; Chordata; Mammalia; Rodentia; Muridae. The record is from RNAcentral.